UGAACGCCGUUUGAGUAUGGCGUCGAUACAAUGUUGAGCUUGCCGGAAUCCUUCAGCUCGACGAAGUCCUUGUUGGGCAGAUCAUAGGAAAUGUCGGCAUCGCCGCGUUCCAGCAGUGCCCGCCGGUUGCCGGACUGCGGCACCAUGCGCCAUAUAACGCGCUUGAUCUUCGGCAUCGGUCCGCCGACCCAGUUUUCGUU
This 200-nucleotide unclassified non-coding RNA is filed under the name Hevea brasiliensis (rubber tree). Lineage: Eukaryota; Viridiplantae; Streptophyta; Magnoliopsida; Malpighiales; Euphorbiaceae. The record is from RNAcentral.